Molecule: long non-coding RNA, 2984 nt
Organism: Nematostella vectensis (starlet sea anemone)
Lineage: Eukaryota; Metazoa; Cnidaria; Anthozoa; Actiniaria; Edwardsiidae
Exons: 2
Source: RefSeq, a predicted model, not a curated record
AGAAAGCGCAACAAUUUUAGAGCCCUUUCUUUUCUAUAUUGGAUUGAUUUGCUCUUUUUUUCCGUAGGCUGAUUGAGUAGGGAUUUCCCAGGGGAAUUUGAUUUCUAUAUCUUAGUGCUAUACUCGAGUAUUCGCUUGUGGUGUCGAGUUUAAGGAUAUGCGGAAGGAAAUUGAAUUUAUUCGAAUCUUUAACAAGACAUUUAGUUCCGUUUCAAGUUUAAGAAAUAAGACUUUUGUCAUGUCUCACCGUUCAAGUGAACAAUUUGUAAUAUCAAUGCGUUUAUAUCAGUCGGGAAAAAAAACUGUUGUACCGCGAACGGCGGUAAUACAAAAAGUAGGGACCUACGCAUCGUUAACAUUCUUAUACCGUUCGAAUUAUUAUGAAGUUUUUUUUAUUUCAAUCUAAGCAAAAAUGAUAAAUUAAUGGGUUGAUUGAUGCUUUUCCAUUUGUAAGGAAAGGUCUCGGGUAGCCGAUGGCCAAAGACAGCUAUAGAUGCUACGAUUGUAAGAAAUAGUAAUGAUUGAAAAAAUAUAUCUUACUAAUCUUAACGGUUUGCCUUGAGGGUCUGGGGAGUCUCAUUGCUAGGUCAAUAACAGAUACUUCUACUUCGUUAAACAUUAAGCCAAAUGAAUCAUACAUUGUUUGUGUUUGGUUUUGGUCUUAUUUUCCCUCUCUGCUGUUUGUGUGUUUGUUUGCUCUUAUAAUUCGCAUAGAAAAAAAAUGUAUUCAUAAAAAAAUUGGUUCGUCGACACACAACCUUACUUCGAAACACUUUUAUCUUCUUUCUAUAUGACAAAUGAAGGCAACCCUUUUCUAUUAGCCCUAACAAAACAAUUUUUCUAAAGAUCGGGAUGAGUUUCUUGCCUUAUCUCCUUUUCAUACACAUUAAUUACAAGCUGAUUUAAGAGAGAGGAAUAGAUUGAAAUUAUGAAAGCUUCAAAAGACAACAGGCAAACAAUAAUGCUGGAGGGUUUACGUAACCUGAGGGUUAGGGCUAGCUAACUAAGAUAUCUCGAGAUGUUGGAAGGGAUAUCAUAUCUUUGUGAUGCAUACAAUAAAAACCCGCGUAAAAGAAGCCAGUAAUUUUAAUUACUAAAAUUCUAAUUACUUAAAAGAGCAUACAGACUGAAAUUUGACGUUAUAACACAUCAGAAUAAAAGAACCUGUCCUACGACCUUUUUUAACCAAAAAUGUCAGUAUAUGGAUCCUCACUUUAAUUUGAAUUGAUAAUAUCUAAAAACUCUUUCACAUUGUUGAAUUUCCCUAAAUGUUGCUAAGAGACCGCACUCGGUCUUCAAGUAACUAUUCCAUUUAUGGUCACUAGACAUCCUAGUUGGAAUAUAGUACCUAAUCAGUCGACAUUGUGUAGUCUCUCGAGCAGCGUUUGGUUAAUGGGAAGUAAACCGAAAACUGGUUAAAACAUCACAAAUUCCGAGUUAUCAUUGUUUAAGAACCAAUUUCACUUGCACUUUGGCAGCGAAAAUGGACUUUGGGAAGCAAGACAAAGCACGGGUGCCGCUAUCUCCCCACGAGUGCUGAAAACUUUAGCUGGCAUGAUUAAUGAAGGAACUUUCUAAGAUCCAUUUCAAUAAAUCAAGAUUAAAGUUUAAUGAGGCUUAAUGCUGGCGUAAUUAUCGGUGGGAAACCUGCAGGUUUAGCAAUACUCACGUUGGCGAGAUGUCUGUAGGGACACUUAGCAAACUUACUCACUAAUGGACCAUUCACAUGACCGCUAAUGUCACGAGCCCUUUUUCAGCCUUAUUACAUGAUUGACACCUUUUCCAUUGUUCUUGCAAGUCCUUUAUUUCAGUAAAAUACCUAUGAAUAAUUUACAUUCUUAAAGACCGGGGAGGGCUUGAUGUAUCAGCAGGAAAAAGCGGGGAAAAAUAUGAGGUUAACUAGAAUGAGGAGAAGUAGGUUAAUAACUAGAUAUUAACCGUGAAUACUAAUGAAGGACCAUCAUAUUGAACCUUGAGUAGAAAUGAGCAAAAAACACAACUUUUUCGUCACAGAUUUGUAACAAGAACGAUUGAUUAUUAACAAUGAUUAUUAACAAUGUCAUGAAAGCAAAAUUUCAAUUUGUAACCCUCGAAAUUCAACAAAAACUUCAGCAAAAUUUUGUGCCCCGGCAAAGUUAGGCUAUGGUGUGUCUAUCUGAGGCGUCUACUCACUCGUUUCGCUUGUUUAUUGCGUCGACAUUACAGUUCUUGAAAAUAGAUAUAAGGCGUAAUAAAAAUAUGUCGCUCGUCUUCGCUGUCAGUGAGCUCAAUUCUCGCAGUGUUUUCACACUGCAACUCCGAGUUACGAACAUUUUGCAAUUAAAAUGCACCUUUGUGAAUUGAGUCCAUGCAUGGAGCAGCCCCGCUCUGUCUAAAUGUUAAUUUUGAUUGUGUACAGUAUUAAUCUAAUGAGCUUUUCAAAUUUGUGCAAUCAACCACCAACUCUCCUAGGUUUUCUUGCAGGUCAAUAAUAACCUGAACCUUGUUUGAUUUCCAAAAAAGUCAACAAUUAUUGAGUUUUGUCUUUUUUUUUUUUUAAUUGUUGUUUACUAGGUAUAGAUCAUGUAAUAAGCCAGUGCGCCCUCAGGCUGUUUGCGAAGGCAAACUGCCUUCGUCCUCGGUAUUUAACCCUUACAUAACCUUUGUUAUUGUAUUCAUUUAAGACAAAUUAUGAGAAGAAAUCUCAAAAUAACCACCUAUAAGUAAAAUCGUAUGCAUUUUUUUUAACAAAUUCAACUAUAAAAAAAAACACGAAAAAGCUUCCCUAAAUCAGCCGAUUGAAAUGGAUGCUUUUUCACACCUGGUAUCGAAUCAGAUGACAAAAUGGCGGAGGCCUCUUUAAUAGCUCAGCACAAUACCAUAAAAGGGACAAAAGUUUACAGUCAAACAAGGCUUGAAGUGCCUAAUUCUUUCUUGAAAGCGUUUUUUCGCCUUACCCUGCAUUCCUGAUAUUCUAGUAAAGUGUUCUAGCCCUUUCCAUAGAC